Molecule: ribosomal RNA, 516 nt
Filed under: uncultured bacterium
Lineage: Bacteria
Description: bacterial SSU rRNA
Rfam family: Bacterial small subunit ribosomal RNA
Source: RNAcentral
GAUGAACGCUGGCGGCGUGCCUAAUACAUGCAAGUCGAGCGAAUGGAUUGAGAGCUUGCUCUCAAGAAGUUAGCGGCGGACGGGUGAGUAACACGUGGGCAACCUGCCUGUAAGACUGGGAUAACUCCGGGAAACCGGAGCUAAUACCGGAUAACUUUUCGAACCGCAUGGUUCGGAGAUAAAAGACGGUUAUGCUGUCACUUACAGAUGGGCCCGCGGCGCAUUAGCUAGUUGGUGAGGUAAUGGCUCACCAAGGCGACGAUGCGUAGCCGACCUGAGAGGGUGAUCGGCCACACUGGGACUGAGACACGGCCCAGACUCCUACGGGAGGCAGCAGUAGGGAAUCUUCCGCAAUGGACGAAAGUCUGACGGAGCAACGCCGCGUGAGUGAUGAAGGUUUUCGGAUCGUAAAGCUCUGUUGUUAGGGAAGAACAAGUGCGGGAGUCACUGCCCGCACCUUGACGGUACCUAACCAGAAAGCCACGGCUAACUACGUGCCAGCCGCCGCAGUAACAC